UACGGUGAAUACGUUCCCGGACCUUGCACACACCGCCCGUCAAGCCGUGGAAGCUGGGUGUACCUAAAGUCGGUAACCGUAAGGAGCCGCCUAGGGUAAAACUAGUGACUGGGGCUA
RNAcentral lists this ribosomal RNA (117 nucleotides) under uncultured bacterium. Its description in RNAcentral is "partial 16S ribosomal RNA". It matches the Rfam family "Bacterial small subunit ribosomal RNA", at positions 1358 to 1483 of the family's 1533-position model. The record is from RNAcentral.